Molecule: ribosomal RNA, 198 nt
Filed under: uncultured bacterium
Lineage: Bacteria
Description: partial 16S ribosomal RNA
Rfam family: Bacterial small subunit ribosomal RNA
Source: RNAcentral
ACGCUCGACACCUACUGGAGGCAGCAGUGGGGGAUAUUGCACAAUGGGGGAAACCCUGAUGCAGCAACGCCGCGUGAAGGAAGAAGGUCUUCGGAUUGUAAACUUCUGUCCUCAGGGAAGAUAAUGACGGUACCUGAGGAGGAAGCUCCGGCUAACUACGUGCCUGCAGCCGCGGUAAUCUGAGCGGGCUGGCAAGGC